GACGAACGCUGGCGGCGUGCUUAACACAUGCAAGUCGAACGGAAAGGCCCUGCUUUUGUGGGGUGCUCGAGUGGCGAACGGGUGAGUAACACGUGAGUAACCUGCCCUUGACUUUGGGAUAACUUCAGGAAACUGGGGCUAAUACCGGAUAGGAGCUCCUGCUGCAUGGUGGGGGUUGGAAAGUUUCGGCGGUUGGGGAUGGACUCGCGGCUUAUCAGCUUGUUGGUGGGGUAGUGGCUUACCAAGGCUUUGACGGGUAGCCGGCCUGAGAGGGUGACCGGCCACAUGGGGACUGAGAUACGGCCCAGACUCCUACGGGAGGCAGCAGUGGGGAAUAUUGCACAAUGGGCGGAAGCCUGAUGCAGCAAAGCCGCGUGCGGGAUGACGGCCUGCGGGUUGUAAACCGCUUUCGCCUGUGACGAAGCGUGAGUGACGGUAAUGGGUAAAGAAGCACCGGCUAACUACGUG
Molecule: ribosomal RNA, 468 nt
Filed under: uncultured bacterium
Lineage: Bacteria
Description: partial 16S ribosomal RNA
Rfam family: Bacterial small subunit ribosomal RNA
Source: RNAcentral